AGAGUUUGAUCCUGGCUCAGAGCGAACGCUGGCGGCGUGCUUAACACAUGCAAGUCGAACGUGAAAGGGAGCAAUCCUGAGUAAAGUGGCGUACGGGUGAGUAACGCGUAGGUAAUCUACCUCAAAGUUUGGAAUAACCUGCCGAAAGGCGGGCUAAUACUGGAUAGAGCGAUGAAGUCUGUGGAGGACUUUUCGGGAAAGGGAGCUCGCAAGAGCCUUCGCUUUGAGAUGAGCCUGCGUCCCAUUAGCUAGUUGGUAGGGUAACGGCCUACCAAGGCAAUGAUGGGUAGCUGGUCUGAGAGGAUGAUCAGCCACACUGGAACUGAAACACGGUCCAGACUCCUACGGGAGGCAGCAGUGGGGAAUCUUGCGCAAUGGACGAAAGUCUGACGCAGCCACGCCGCGUGAGUGAAGAAGGCCUUCGGGUUGUAAAGCUCUGUCGGGCGGGACGAAAAUAUUUUAGGUGAAUAGCCUAGAGUACUGACGGUACCGCCAAAGGAAGCACCGGCUAACUUCGUGCCAGCAGCCGCGGUAAUACGAAGGGUGCGAGCGUUGCUCGGAAUUAUUGGGCGUAAAGGGUAGGUAGGUGGUCUUGUUUGUCUGGGGUGAAAUCCUUGGGCUUAACCUAAGAAGUGCCUCAGAAACGGCAAGACUAGAGUCCUGGAGAGGGUCGUGGAAUUCCCGGUGUAGCGGUGAAAUGCGUAGAGAUCGGGAGGAACACCAGAGGCGAAGGCGGCGACCUGGACAGGAACUGACACUCAACUACGAAAGCGUGGGUAGCAAACAGGAUUAGAUACCCUGGUAGUCCACGCCGUAAACGAUGGAUACUAGACUUGGUGGGUCUUGACCCCUGCCGAGUCGGAGCUAACGCGAUAAGUAUCCCGCCUGGGAAGUACGGUCGCAAGACUAAAACUCAAAGGAAUUGACGGGGGCCCGCACAAGCGGUGGAUCAUGUGGUUUAAUUCGAAGCAACGCGAAGAACCUUA
Molecule: ribosomal RNA, 986 nt
Filed under: marine metagenome
Description: bacterial SSU rRNA
Rfam family: Bacterial small subunit ribosomal RNA
Source: RNAcentral